Molecule: ribosomal RNA, 397 nt
Filed under: uncultured bacterium
Lineage: Bacteria
Description: partial 16S ribosomal RNA
Rfam family: Bacterial small subunit ribosomal RNA
Source: RNAcentral
AUACGUAGGGGGCGAGCGUUGUCCGGAAUGAUUGGGCGUAAAGGGCGCGUAGGCGGCUUUGCAAGUCAGUAGUGGAAGUCCAUUUUUCAAGGAUGGAAGUGCUACAGAAACUGCGGAGCUUGAGUGCAGGAGAGGUUAUCGGAAUUCCCGGUGUAGCGGUGAAAUGCGUAGAGAUCGGGAGGAACACCAGUGGCGAAGGCGGGUAACUGGACUGCAACUGACGCUGAGGCGCGAAAGUGUGGGGAGCAAACAGGAUUAGAUACCCUGGUAGUCCACACUGUAAACGAUGAAUGCUAGGUGUAGGAGGUAUCGACCCCUUCUGUGCCGCAGUAAACACAGUAAGCAUGCCGCCUGGGUAGUACGUUCGCAAGAAUGAAACUCAAAGGAAUUGACGGGG